GCGCAGCUGAUGCAGCGACGCCGCGUGAGGGAUGGAGGCCUUCGGGUUGUAAACCUCUUUUAUCGGGGAGCAAGCGAGAGUGAGUUUACCCGUUGAAUAAGCACCGGCUAACUACGUGCCAGCAGCCGCGGUAAUACGUAGGGUGCAAGCGUUAUCCGGAAUUAUUGGGCGUAAAGGGCUCGUAGGCGGUUCGUCGCGUCCGGUGUGAAAGUCCAUCGCUUAACGGUGGAUCCGCGCCGGGUACGGGCGGGCUUGAGUGCGGUAGGGGAGACUGGAAUUCCCGGUGUAACGGUGGAAUGUGUAGAUAUCGGGAAGAACACCAAUGGCGAAGGCAGGUCUCUGGGCCGUUACUGACGCUGAGGAGCGAAAGCGUGGGGAGCGAACAGGAUUAGAUACC
This 397-nucleotide ribosomal RNA is filed under the name Bifidobacterium longum. Its description in RNAcentral is "bacterial SSU rRNA". It matches the Rfam family "Bacterial small subunit ribosomal RNA", at positions 377 to 786 of the family's 1533-position model. Lineage: Bacteria; Bacillati; Actinomycetota; Actinomycetes; Bifidobacteriales; Bifidobacteriaceae. The record is from RNAcentral.